UGGGUUUGAGGCCAGGUUGGGUGACUAAUCUCUCCCUUCGCCACAGUUUCUGUUCAUCCAUCUGUUACAUUACAACGUGACAUGAUGGAUAACGGUAGCAGAGAGGUGUCAUGGAAGGAAGGGCUGGACACAGGACUGUUACAGCAGUGAAUUGGAAUACAGAAGGAACAGACCUUGGAUUGGAUUGAAAUGAAAAAUAUUUAGUUGGACAGUUGGAAAAAAAACAGGAAAACAUGGGUUUUUCAUCAUGCCAACCAUGGAUGUGAAAGAAUGGUUGACAGGAGAAUUGGACAGCACAAAGCAAGAACUGAGAAGAGAGAUGGAGGAGAGGGACAGCGCUAUACUGACAGAGGAAAAUCUUUACCUGAAAAAAUAUGUUCUUGUCACACAGGAGAUCACAAAACUGGACGAACAAGUAAGGUUAUCUCAACAGCAGAUUGCAUCGUUUAAGACCAUAAAUGAAGACUUGACUCAGAGGGUGAAAACACUGGAGACAGAGAACCUACAUCUGAAACAAGAAAUGGAGAAUUGGAGGGCAAGGGAACUCCAAGAAAGAGACAUAGAGAAACCAACCCGAAUGGUGGAGAUGGAAAAGAUGAUUAAAAUGUUGGAAAAUGACAUAGAGAGACAUGAAAAAGAGAUGGCCCGAAUACAAAGACUUGAGGAAUUGACAACCAAAUCAACAGAAGACAAAAGGCUAGAGGCAGUGAGAGUUCAAAUGAAAGAGGAAAGAAGACAAGAGGAGGUCAACUUGGAUGUCAAAGAUACAAAUCAUUUGUUGGAGGACAAGCAAAAAAUUGAAGAUGACAGAAAAAGCACAGAAGAUGUGGAACAAGAGAGAGCUCAAAAGAAAACAAACAGAGAGGAUGAGAAACCAGUGAGCGAAGACCAAAACUGGUUGGAGGAGGAAAGUAAUGUUAAAGACAUGGGACAUGCAGAUGAUAAGACAGAAGGUGAAAGUAAGGUAUUGGAGACGGGGAAAGCAGGUAAUCAGACUGUGGAAAAGGAGUUUCUGAAAGACCAAGUACAGAUAAAGCCCUCUUCUAAGGAAGUUGUAGACUGGACAGACGUCAAGGAGGCGGAGAUUAAAGAGGAG
Molecule: long non-coding RNA, 1096 nt
Organism: Clupea harengus (Atlantic herring)
Lineage: Eukaryota; Metazoa; Chordata; Actinopteri; Clupeiformes; Clupeidae
Source: Ensembl